This 656-nucleotide unclassified non-coding RNA is filed under the name Hevea brasiliensis (rubber tree). The record is from RNAcentral. Lineage: Eukaryota; Viridiplantae; Streptophyta; Magnoliopsida; Malpighiales; Euphorbiaceae.
GAAAGAACAGUUGGCAGAGGAUCAGUCUGUGUCUCUUUCAACAGUUGUAACAGAUGAGUUGCAAAGGACAACAAAAAUAUCUGAAUCAGGGAGUUCAGUGGAGCUCAAUGUUGUUGGAUUAGAGCUGAACUCAAGUGAGAUGGCGUGAGAACACAGCUAUGAAGGUGGAAUUCAGUUUGGAUGAUCAGCUUGGCCUAAGUUACAGGUAGGUACUUAAAAGUGAAAACAACUGCCUAAGAACAUUACAUAUCAGCCUGAAACAGUCAGUUUGGUGUCACAACUUGUGUGUUCCCAAACUGAUUGCUAAACGCUGUGUGGUGUUUAUUUCACGAGGAAUAAAGUUGUGAAUUCGGAAAGCUCAUUGCAAAUUCUGUAUAUAAAAUUAGCAUUUUGUGGCCUAUAGUGUGUUUUUCCUGGUUAUUUCAUGCACUGAAAGAGAAUAUCUAGCUUUUGCUGCUUUGUUUAAAGUUGAAGCCUGGUACUGUACCGAUUUGGAAGAAUGCUUUCUCUUAUACCAUAUGCAGUCCAUUUGUUUUGAGGAUGCUUCAUCCAUGUUUAGCUAGGAAAAUUGGCUGAAAACUUUUAUGAGACACCACCCUUCGUGAGAUGUCAAUAAGAUACAUUCCAAUUUCUAUAUAGAUGGAUUCUAACAAAAU